AUUGAACGCUGGCGGCAGGCCUAACACAUGCAAGUCGAGCGGAUGAAGGGAGCUUGCUCCUGGAUUCAGCGGCGGACGGGUGAGUAAUGCCUAGGAAUCUGCCUGGGAGUGGGGGAUAACGUCCGGAAACGGGCGCUAAUACCUCAUACGUCCUGAGGGAGAAAGUGGGGGAUCUUCGGACCUCACGCUAUCAGAUGAGCCUAGGUCGGAUUAGCUAGUUGGUGGGGUAAAGGCCUACCAAGGCGACGAUCCGUAACUGGUCUGAGAGGAUGAUCAGUCACACUGGAACUGAGACACGGUCCAGACUCCUACGGGAGGCAGCAGUGGGGAAUAUUGGACAAUGGGCGAAAGCCUGAUCCAGCCAUGCCGCGUGUGUGAAGAAGGUCUUCGGAUUGUAAAGCACUUUAAGUUGGGAGGAAGGGCAGUAAGUUAAUACCUUGCUGUUUUGACGUUACCAACAGAAUAAGCACCGGCUAACUUCGUG
This 484-nucleotide ribosomal RNA is filed under the name uncultured bacterium. RNAcentral describes it as "partial 16S ribosomal RNA". It matches the Rfam family "Bacterial small subunit ribosomal RNA", at positions 30 to 507 of the family's 1533-position model. The record is from RNAcentral.